Molecule: ribosomal RNA, 463 nt
Filed under: uncultured bacterium
Lineage: Bacteria
Description: SSU rRNA
Rfam family: Bacterial small subunit ribosomal RNA
Source: RNAcentral
AGAAUCAACGCUGGCGGCGUGCCUAACACAUGCAAGUCGAACGAGAAAGUGGGAGCAAUCCCACGAGUAAAGUGGCGCACGGGUGAGUAACACGUGACUAACCUACCCUUGAGUGGGGGAUAACCUAGGGAAACCUGGGCUAAUACCGCAUAAUACCUACGGGUCAAAGGAGCAAUUCGCUUUAGGAGGGGGUCGCGGCAGAUUAGUUAGUUGGCGGGGUAAUGGCCCACCAAGACAGUGAUCUGUAUCCGGCCUGAGAGGGCGCACGGACACACUGGAACUGAAACACGGUCCAGACUCCUACGGGAGGCAGCAGUGGGGAAUUUGCGCAAUGGGGGAAACCCUGACGCAGCAACGCCGCGUGGAGGAUGAAGCCCCUUGGGGCGUAAACUCCUUUCGAUCGGGAAGAUAAUGACGGUACCGGAAGAACGAAGCCCCGGCUAACGUUCGUGCCAGCAGCCGC